RNAcentral lists this ribosomal RNA (301 nucleotides) under uncultured bacterium. RNAcentral's name for it is "partial 16S ribosomal RNA". It matches the Rfam family "Bacterial small subunit ribosomal RNA", at positions 509 to 807 of the family's 1533-position model. The record is from RNAcentral.
CAGCAGCCACGGUAAUACAGAGGGUGCGAGCGUUAAUCGGAUUUACUGGGCGUAAAGCGUGCGUAGGCGGCUUUUUAAGUCGGAUGUGAAAUCCCUGAGCUUAACUUAGGAAUUGCAUUCGAUACUGGGAAGCUAGAGUAUGGGAGAGGAUGGUAGAAUUCCAGGUGUAGCGGUGAAAUGCGUAGAGAUCUGAAGGAAUACCGAUGGCGAAGGCAGCCAUCUGGCCUAAUACUGACGCUGAGGUACGAAAGCAUGGGGAGCAAACAGGAUUAGAUACCCGUGUAGUCCCUGUCUCUUAUAC